CCUUUACCUGUUCUUUCCUUUACCAGGCAGUGGGCUUUGUGACAUUGUGGAACCAAUGGUGUGGCAGUAUCAGGCCAAAACUUUUGACCUUCCUCCAGAUUUGUUUGAGAAGUACUCAGCAGUAUUUCCGAGUAUAUGGGUUGCCAGUGCUUUCAAGGGUGCCACAGGGAGUACACAGUUUCUACCUCCCAUUCAGAACCACAUAAAUAAUAACCUGUUGUGGUUAACUGUGUUGUCAGAAAAAAAAAACAUACCAAGAAGUUUAAAGGUAUUUGUCUAACAGGUUGGCAAAGAUAUGACCAUUAUGCCGUACUGUGUGAGUUGCUGCCUGCAGCUCUACCC
Long non-coding RNA from Portunus trituberculatus (swimming crab), 342 nucleotides. RefSeq lists it as uncharacterized. The record is from RefSeq and is a predicted model, not a curated record. NCBI's taxonomy places the organism in Eukaryota, Metazoa, Arthropoda, Malacostraca, Decapoda, Portunidae. The transcript is spliced from 3 exons.